This 497-nucleotide ribosomal RNA is filed under the name uncultured Pseudomonadota bacterium. Its description in RNAcentral is "bacterial SSU rRNA". It matches the Rfam family "Bacterial small subunit ribosomal RNA", at positions 382 to 896 of the family's 1533-position model. Lineage: Bacteria; Pseudomonadati; Pseudomonadota. The record is from RNAcentral.
CCUGAUCCAGCAAUGCCGCGUGAGUGAUGAAGGCCUUCGGGUUGUAAAGCUCUUUCGCACGCGACGAUGAUGACGGUAGCGUGAGAAGAAGCCCCGGCUAACUUCGUGCCAGCAGCCGCGGUAAUACGAAGGGGGCUAGCGUUGUUCGGAAUUACUGGGCGUAAAGGGCGCGUAGGCGGUGUGUCAAGUCAGGCGUGAAAGCCCCGGGCUCAACCUGGGAACCGCGCUUGAGACUGGCACGCUAGAGUUCGGGAGAGGAUGGUGGAAUUCCCAGUGUAGAGGUGAAAUUCGUAGAUAUUGGGAAGAACACCGAUGGCGAAGGCAGCCAUCUGGACCGACACUGACGCUGAGGCGCGAAAGCGUGGGGAGCAAACAGGAUUAGAUACCCUGGUAGUCCACGCCGUAAACGAUGAGUGCUAGACGUCGGGGCCCUUAGGGCUUCGGUGUCGCAGCUAACGCGUUAAGCACUCCGCCUGGGGAGUACGGCCGCAAGGUUA